Molecule: long non-coding RNA, 1945 nt
Organism: Manis pentadactyla (Chinese pangolin)
Lineage: Eukaryota; Metazoa; Chordata; Mammalia; Pholidota; Manidae
Exons: 2
Source: RefSeq, a predicted model, not a curated record
UUCAAGGCACUGGAUGCAAUUUUCCUUUUCUGUGGCUUUGACUCUGCCACUUGGCACUUGAUCUCUGACCGUGGCAAUCAUCUAGUUUUUUGUGUGUGUGCAGGGUGGGGGGAGGUUACUCAAGCCAAGAAGAGGUGGAACUUAUUUACUUAUUUUCUGACAAGAGAAUGACAGGCAAAGAGAUAAGCCCCUUUCCAGACCCCAAGGGCUGGAAAGGACCAUGUUAUCAGUAGGGGAUUCCAGAGAAACAGAACCAAUAGGAGAUGUGUGCGGGGGGCAUAUGUGUAUAUAUACAGAGGGACAGAGCAACAGACUCCAGUGCGGGCAGGCACAGAGCACACAGAACACAAGACGGAGGAAGGAAGAGGUAUUCACUCCUUCUCCCGCCUCACCGCCCGGCUGGGACAUCCCGUCUCCUUUCCUGCGCUCCAUCUGGGAUGUACGCCAUCGGCUCCCCUGCUUCUCAGGCCUUUGACCUGGGACUGAAUGACAUCAGCAGCUUUCCUGAGUCUCUAACUUGCAGACGGCCGACUGCGAGACUUCUAAGCCUCCAGAAUCAACACUUCGGGGUGACAGCAAGCAGGAAGACUAACUGCUCCCCUGCUGACCCUGCCCCCAGGUUGUACGGACAAGCUGAGAGAGCGCCCACCUGCCUCCCCAUACCCCAGCCCCCACCCAAACCCGCUCUGCCCUGACUAGGCCAUUGUUCUCGGGCCCCUACUGGAUGCCAAGCCUUUUACAUACAUUCCCUACUACACACAAGGGUUACACUAGCCCCAUUUCACAGAUGAGGAAUGUGAGGGCAGGGAGGUGAAUACGAUUUACAUAUGACAACACAGGAGGGUUUUUAUUCCCAGCUUGUCCCUCAGCAAAGGAGUCCCUCCUCCUCCAAGUCCGUGGCAAGCCUUUCACGUCAAUGGCACCCUCACCGUCACUCCGGCACAGAUCUGCAAGCACGACCCGAGGAGGAACCCCAGCCUGGUGUCUCGUGCUGUGGCUGGCGACAGAUCAGAGGUUCUCAGCAUGUGGUCCAUGGGCACAAGACCCUCAGGGGAUCUGUGAGGUCAAAACAAUUUCCGUACGAACCCUGAGACGCCACUCAGUGACUCAGUUCACUGUGGGGACAUGUGUCCCCCAGACGUGGUAACAGCAUGGGCACCUGCGCACGCUGGCUCACCCAGGAGCGUCCAAGCAAUUCCACACACGUGCAGCCCUUUUAACUUUGUGUGAUAACGUGGGACCCAAGCGGAGCACACUUCUGUGCUCCGUCUCCAGGAAGAGCACUGUGAGGUUGGGUUCUGAGCAAAACCAGCCGCUCUUUUCAUUGAACGACUCAUUGGAGACUCAGUUAUCUGGACUCGGGUCUCAGUCCCUCAAUAAUGAGGGAAGUGAGCUUCAAGGGAAGCAACUGACAGUGUUCACUGCCAUUGACAAAAUGUGAGCUUCCGUGGGAAAACCUGGAUUUGGGGAAACUUGAAUCCACCACGAGCUUGGUGGCAUUUUAGAUUUUUUCUGAUGAGACUGUGAUGAACAUAAUAUGUUCCUUUUCUUCUGCAUCAUGACAUGUGUCCAUGUGUGGAAGAUUUGUAUAACAUGGUGAAUCAGUACGUCCCAAAUGACCAAUGCAUCACGUUACAAAAUCACGCCUGGGUAAAAGAUCCAGUCACAGUGCCAGAUGCGGGAGGGGAUUUAAUGUAACUGACUGAAAAAGUCACUGAUAUGGUUUGAUUCCAAAUUGCAACUGACCUUUAAAAAAUUGUCACUUCCUGAGCUUUGAGGAAGUAUCAAAGAACAUCCAGUCAUCUGAAAAGGCUACUAGAAUGCAUUUCUGAAUGCACUUCUAGGUAAAGAUGGAUUUUCUUCAAACAACUUGUUGCAGCAAAUUGAAAGGAGAUGUGAGAAUCUGUUUCUGAAGACAGGUAUUAAAGAGAUCUGCAAAACUGUA